Molecule: ribosomal RNA, 174 nt
Filed under: Osteocephalus mimeticus (Henle's slender-legged treefrog)
Lineage: Eukaryota; Metazoa; Chordata; Amphibia; Anura; Hylidae
Description: partial 16S ribosomal RNA
Source: RNAcentral
ACGUGAUCUGAGUUCAGACCGGAGUAAUCCAGGUCAGUUUCUAUCUAUAAGGAGUUUCUUCUAGUACGAAAGGACCGAAAAAACAUGGCCUAUACUUCACGCAAGCCAUAAUUACUGACUUAUGAUUAAAUCUUAAUAAAUGCUUAAUCCAUUAUUAAACUCAAAAAAAGAGUA